Molecule: ribosomal RNA, 301 nt
Filed under: uncultured bacterium
Lineage: Bacteria
Description: partial 16S ribosomal RNA
Rfam family: Bacterial small subunit ribosomal RNA
Source: RNAcentral
CAGCAGCCACGGGAAUACGUAGGUGGCAAGCGUCGUCCGGAAUUAUUGGGCGUAAAGCGCGUGCAGGUGGUUUAAUAAGUCUGAUGUGAAAGCCCACGGCUCAACCGUGGAGGGUCAUUGGAAACUGUUAAACUUGAGUGCAGGAGAGAAAAGUGGAAUUCCUAGUGUAGCGGUGAAAUGCGUAGAGAUUAGGAGGAACACCAGUGGCGAAGGCGGCUUUUUGGCCUGUAACUGACACUGAGGCGCGAAAGCGUGGGGAGCAAACAGGAUUAGAUACCCCUGUAGUCCCUGUCUCUUAUAC